Fukomys damarensis (Damara mole-rat) is the source of this 132-nucleotide small nuclear RNA. Its record names the gene U4. It matches the Rfam family "U4 spliceosomal RNA". Rfam says of the family: U4 small nuclear RNA (U4 snRNA) is a component of the major U2-dependent spliceosome. The structure of U4 snRNA from yeast and human has been reported. U4 snRNA presents a k-turn RNA motif in the 5p-SL related to recognition of Snu13 protein. The record is from Ensembl. NCBI's taxonomy places the organism in Eukaryota, Metazoa, Chordata, Mammalia, Rodentia, Bathyergidae.
AGCUUUGCUCAGUGGCAGUAUCAUAGCCAAUGAGGUUUAUCCGAGGCGCGAUUAUUGCUAAUUGAAAGAAUCAGUUAGAUAAUGAAAUUGACAAUAUCGCACAUCACAUUUUAAUUUUUUUUAUUUUAAUAA